UACGUAGGGUGCAAGCGUUGUCCGGAAUUAUUGGGCGUAAAGAGCUUGUAGGCGGUUUGUCGCGUCUGCUGUGAAAUUUCGGGGCUCAACCCCGGACUUGCAGUGGGUACGGGCAGACUAGAGUGUGGUAGGGGAGACUGGAAUUCCUGGUGUAGCGGUGAAAUGCGCAGAUAUCAGGAGGAACACCGAUGGCGAAGGCAGGUCUCUGGGCCAUAACUGACGCUGAGGCACGAAGGCCAGGGGAGCAAACGGG
RNAcentral lists this ribosomal RNA (253 nucleotides) under uncultured bacterium. Its description in RNAcentral is "partial 16S ribosomal RNA". It matches the Rfam family "Bacterial small subunit ribosomal RNA", at positions 524 to 776 of the family's 1533-position model. The record is from RNAcentral.